Molecule: non-coding RNA, 72 nt
Organism: Dreissena polymorpha
Lineage: Eukaryota; Metazoa; Mollusca; Bivalvia; Myida; Dreissenidae
Source: the annotation of a RefSeq genome assembly
GCCGAAAUAGCUCAGUUGAGAGAGCAUUAGACUGAUGAUCUAAAGGCUCCGGUUCAAUCCCGGGUUCCGGCA